Ceratitis capitata (Mediterranean fruit fly) is the source of this 142-nucleotide small nucleolar RNA. The record is from RefSeq and is a predicted model, not a curated record. Lineage: Eukaryota; Metazoa; Arthropoda; Insecta; Diptera; Tephritidae.
AAAUUGGCUUGAUCGAAGACCAUGUUAUGAUCUCAAAAAUAUAUGUGGUUCAAAAGUAAGCCAAAAGCAAUUUUUGUUACGACGGUCACCGAAUAUCUUAAUUUUUUUGAUACUUUGGUAACAUUUACGUGCAAUUACAAGA